GACGAACGCUGGCGGCGUGCUUAAUACAUGCAGGUCGAACGGAAAGGUCCCUUCGGGGGUCCUCGAGUGUCGAACAGGUGAGUAACACUUGAGUAUCCUUCACUUGACUUUGGGAUAACAUCAGGUAACUGGGGCUAAUACUAGUUCGGAAUACCUUCUGCAUGGUGGUGGUUGUAAAGCUUCGGCGGUUUUGGCUGGACUUGCGGCUUAUCAGCUUGCUUGUGGAGUUGUGUCUUACCAAGGCUUUGACGGGUAGCCGGCCUGAGGGGGCGACCGGCGACAUUGGGACCUAGAGACGGCACAGACUCCUACUGGAGGGAGCAGGGGGGAAUAUUGCACAAUGGGCGGAAGCCGGAUGCAGCAAGUCCGCGGACGGUAUGACGGCCUUCGGGUGGUAGACCGCAUUCAGCAGGGGCGAAGCUUGUGGUGACGGUACCUGCAGAAGAAGCACCGGCUAACUACGUG
This 465-nucleotide ribosomal RNA is filed under the name uncultured bacterium. Its description in RNAcentral is "partial 16S ribosomal RNA". It matches the Rfam family "Bacterial small subunit ribosomal RNA", at positions 28 to 507 of the family's 1533-position model. The record is from RNAcentral.